RNAcentral lists this ribosomal RNA (301 nucleotides) under uncultured bacterium. Its description in RNAcentral is "partial 16S ribosomal RNA". It matches the Rfam family "Bacterial small subunit ribosomal RNA", at positions 509 to 808 of the family's 1533-position model. The record is from RNAcentral.
CAGUCGCCGCGGGAAUACGUAGGUCCCGAUCGUUGUCCGGAUUUAUUGGGCGUAAAGGGAGCGCAGGCGGUUUAGUAAGUCUGAAGUUAAAGGCAUUGGCUCAACCAAUGUAUGCUUUGGAAACUGUUAGACUUGAGUGCAAGAGGGGAGAGUGGAAUUCCAUGUGUAGCGGUGAAAUGCGUAGAUAUAUGGAGGAACACCGGUGGCGAAAGCGGCUCUCUGGCUUGUAACUGACGCUGAGGCUCGAAAGCGUGGGGAGCAAACAGGAUUAGAUACCCCAGUAGUCCCUGUCUCUUAUACA